This 242-nucleotide ribosomal RNA is filed under the name uncultured bacterium. RNAcentral describes it as "partial 16S ribosomal RNA". It matches the Rfam family "Bacterial small subunit ribosomal RNA", at positions 524 to 758 of the family's 1533-position model. The record is from RNAcentral.
UACGUAGGGUGCAAGCGUUAAUCGGAAUUACUGGGCGUAAAGCGUGCGCAGGCGGUUUUGUAAGUUCUGUCGUGAAAUCCCCGGGCUCAACCUGGGAAAUUCGGCGAUGGAGACUGCAAGGCUAGAAUCUGGCAGAGGGGGUAGAAUUCCGACGUGUGGAGCAGUGAAAUGCGUAGAGAUAGUGGAGGAACACCGAUGGCGAAGGCAGCCCCUGGGUCAAGAUUGACGCUCCAUGCACGAAG